Molecule: ribosomal RNA, 272 nt
Filed under: uncultured bacterium
Lineage: Bacteria
Description: partial 16S ribosomal RNA
Rfam family: Bacterial small subunit ribosomal RNA
Source: RNAcentral
UACGUAGGUGGCAAGCGUUAUCCGGAAUUAUUGGGCGUAAAGGGUGCGUAGGCGGUCUAAUAAGUCAGUCGUGAAAUCGCUGGGCUCAACCCAUGCAAUUGCGAUUGAUACUGUUAGACUUGAAUGGGGUUGAGGCUGGCGGAAUGCGGCAUGUAGCGGUGAAAUGCUUAGAUAUGUCGCAGAACACCGAUUGCGAAGGCAGCCAGCUGGGCCUUUAUUGACGCUGAGGCACGAAAGCGUGGGGAGCAAACAGGAUUAGAUACCCUAGUAGU